Molecule: ribosomal RNA, 125 nt
Filed under: Pteropus alecto (black flying fox)
Lineage: Eukaryota; Metazoa; Chordata; Mammalia; Chiroptera; Pteropodidae
Source: RNAcentral
GUCUAUGGCCAUGCCACCCUGAACGAGCCCGAUCCCGUCCGAUCCCAGAAGCUAAGCAGGGUCAGGCCUGGUUACUACUUGGCCCGACCUAGGAGACCACCUAGAAAGAUCAGGUGCUGUAGGUG